CGUACACGAGUUUGAUCAUGGCUCAGAACGAACGCUGGCGGCAUGCCUAACACAUGCAAGUCGAACGAGGCCUUCGGGUCUAGUGGCGCACGGGUGCGUAACGCGUGGGAAUCUGCCCUUGGGUUCGGAAUAACACAGAGAAAUUUGUGCUAAUACCGGAUGAUGACGAAAGUCCAAAGAUUUAUCGCCCAAGGAUGAGCCCGCGUAGGAUUAGCUAGUUGGUGAGGUAAUGGCUCACCAAGGCGACGAUCCUUAGCUGGUCUGAGAGGAUGAUCAGCCACACUGGGACUGAGACACGGCCCAGACUCCUACGGGAGGCAGCAGUGGGGAAUAUUGGACAAUGGGCGAAAGCCUGAUCCAGCAAUGCCGCGUGAGUGAUGAAGGCCUUAGGGUUGUAAAGCUCUUUUACCCGGGAUGAUAAUGACAGUACCGGGAGAAUAAGCUCCGGCUAACUCCGUG
Molecule: ribosomal RNA, 459 nt
Filed under: uncultured bacterium
Lineage: Bacteria
Description: bacterial SSU rRNA
Rfam family: Bacterial small subunit ribosomal RNA
Source: RNAcentral